AUUUGGGUCCAUUUUUCAGCCAUAGUUGAUUAUUUUGAGAGCUUUUUGAAGGAGAUUGAAGAGAGAUUCAAGGAGAAACGUUUGGAGGUAAGAAUUUUGGACCUAAAACUCAUUUAUAUUGUAAAAUCCACUUAGAAAAUCAUUGAAUUCUUGCAUGGAAGAAAUAGGGUUUGGGAUUUUGAGAUUCUAUUGGGGAUUUGGAGGACCAUUUAGGGUCAGAUUUGAGAACUUUUGGUAUGUAUGAACUCAUGGGGAGAUAAAGAACCUGUUGAUGUAAAAAUUUCUGAAUGUUGAGAAGUGAGCUCGGAGCUCGGUUUUUGCUAAUUUCGGGAUUUUUAAUGUUUUUCGAUUGUUUUUGCUUGGACUUUGUUCCCUUAGCAUAUUGUGACGUAUUCAUUCUGAUUUUGGAUAGAUUCAACGUGCGUGGAGGCCAAUUCGAGGGGCAAAGGCGUCGCGAGCUAAAGAAUUAGCCGGUUCGAGGUGAGUAAUGAUUGUAAAUGAUGCUCUAAGGGUUUGAAACCCCGAAUUGCACAUCGUAGUGCUAUAUUGAUGUGAGACACACGUUUGAUGACGAGCGUGUGGUCGUAUACUAUUGGGUAUUGUGACUUGGCCCAUCCCGCAUUGAUGAUUUUUUUCGCGUAUUUGACUGAGACUUAUUUGUUUUCAUUAUGCUUUGGGCUAAUUGCCAUAUUUGGGCUUCGUGCCAACUAUUUGAAUCCUUAG
RNAcentral lists this long non-coding RNA (723 nucleotides) under Nicotiana tabacum (common tobacco). RNAcentral's name for it is "long non-coding RNA (NTAB_LNC002149)". Lineage: Eukaryota; Viridiplantae; Streptophyta; Magnoliopsida; Solanales; Solanaceae. The record is from RNAcentral.